This 407-nucleotide ribosomal RNA is filed under the name uncultured bacterium. Its description in RNAcentral is "partial 16S ribosomal RNA". It matches the Rfam family "Bacterial small subunit ribosomal RNA", at positions 28 to 526 of the family's 1533-position model. The record is from RNAcentral.
GACGAACGCUGGCGGCGUGUCCAAUACAUGCAAGUACGACGCAGUUGCGAACGGGUGAGUAACGCGUAGGUAACUACCUAUUAGAGGGGGAUAACUAUUGGUAACGAUAGCUAAUACCGCAUACUUGUAGAUGGACCUGCGUUGUAUUAGCUAGUAGGUACGGUAAUGGCCGACCUAGGGAACGAUACAUAGCCGACCGGAGAGGGUAAUCGGCCACACUGGGACUGAGACACGGCCCAGACUCCUACGGGAGGCAGCAGUAGGGAAUCUUCGGCAAUGGGGGGAACCCUGACCGAGCAACGCCGCGUGAGUGAAGAAGGUUUUCGGAUCGUAAAGCUCUGUUGUUAAGGAAGCGGUACUUAACCAGAAAGGGACGGCUAACUACGUGCCAGCAGCCGCGGUAAUAC